AGUCACUGACAUUAGAUACCCCUGUAGUCCAGGGUGUAAACGCUGCAGACUUGGUGUUGGUAGGCCCUUUGGGGGCAUUCAGUGCCGGAGAGAAGUUGUUAAGUCUGCUACUUGGGGAGUACGUCCGCAAGGAUGAAACUUAAAGGAAUUGGCGGGGGAGCACCGCAACGGGAGGAGCGUGCGGUUUAAUUGGAUUCAACACCGUAAACUCACCAGGGAAGACUGUUACAUGAAGGCCGAGAUGAAGACUCUGCUAGAUUUUCAG
Molecule: ribosomal RNA, 265 nt
Filed under: uncultured archaeon
Lineage: Archaea
Description: partial 16S ribosomal RNA
Rfam family: Archaeal small subunit ribosomal RNA
Source: RNAcentral